GAUGAACGCUAGCGGAAGGCUUAAUACAUGCAAGUCGAGCGGUAGGUGGCUUCGGCCAUUGAGAGCGGCGCACGGGUGAGUAACGCGUACAUGACCUGCCUGUCAGAAGGGGAUAGCCCUGGGAAACUGGGAUUAAUACCCUAUGGUAUUGAUAUUAUGAAUGAUAUCAAUUAAAGUUGAGGCGCUGACAGAUGGAUGUGCGUCUGAUUAGCUAGUUGGUAGGGUAACGGCCUACCAAGGCGAUGAUCAGUAGGGGGCGUGAGAGCGUGGUCCCCCACACGGGUACUGAGACACGGACCCGACUCCUACGGGAGGCAGCAGUAAGGAAUAUUGGUCAAUGCCCGCAAGGGUGAACCAGCCAUUCCGCGUGGAGGAUGAAGGCCCUAUGGGUUGUAAACUUCUUUUAGAUGGGAAGAAAUGCUAGAUGUAUCUGGUACUGACGGUACAUCAGAAUAAGCACCGGCUAACUCCGUGCCAGCAGCCGCGGUAAU
Molecule: ribosomal RNA, 491 nt
Filed under: uncultured bacterium
Lineage: Bacteria
Description: bacterial SSU rRNA
Rfam family: Bacterial small subunit ribosomal RNA
Source: RNAcentral